CCAAAGCAAAUAAAAGGGAACUCUCCCUUGCUUUAUAAUAAAAUUGAGUAGACUAAGUGGGAAAAAAGGGAUGUUAGUCCCCUUUUUAUGGCCGAUUCAUUGGAUUGGGCCCCCAAAAGAUACCUUUUGGGGCCAUUGGCGUAGAGAGGGGGGAUCCGAUUUUCGGAUCGGCGCCGAAGGCGCCCAACCCUACUCGAUUUUUAUGAAAAACCACUCUUUUUAUUAGGAUUACUGGCUAAAACCGUACAAGUAAGGUAGUUUGGUUGGGGCGACCGCCUUCGAAAAAGUAUCGAAGGCGUACAUAAGAUUAAUCCGGGGGGGGUGUCCUUUUUUCACCCCCAAACAAACCGGGGGUAAUGCCCCAAAAAAGAUUAGUUUGACUGAGAGGGCUACAACCCGAACAGGCGCUUGGGGAUCGUUAGGAUCCCUGGGCCCGGUUUAUACCAAGGGGCCUAAUUGACCAGCGGGCUCCUUUUUAUUCCCGGGUCGAACCUAGCGGGUCAUAG
Molecule: ribosomal RNA, 506 nt
Filed under: Placozoa sp. ME-2010
Lineage: Eukaryota; Metazoa; Placozoa
Description: partial 16S ribosomal RNA
Source: RNAcentral